AGGCUGAAAUCGACAUCUUUUCACACAAAGUUAUCACCAGUGUGCUUUGCAUCAGCAUCAGUGUGCAUGCCAGUAUUCAACAUUGUUCAGAAGUCAUGAGGCUCAAAUCGACAUCUUUUUCAAAGUUAUCACCAGUGUGCUUUGCAUCAGUAUCAGUGUGCAUGCCAGUAUUCAACAUUGUUCAGAAGUCAUCAGGCUGAAAUCGACAUCUUUUCUCAAAGUUAUCACCAGUGUGCUUUGCAUCAGUAUCAGUGUGCAU
Molecule: long non-coding RNA, 259 nt
Organism: Patiria miniata (bat star)
Lineage: Eukaryota; Metazoa; Echinodermata; Asteroidea; Valvatida; Asterinidae
Exons: 3
Source: RefSeq, a predicted model, not a curated record